GAUAAACGCUGGCGGCGUGCAUGAGACAUGCAAGUCGAACGGACGAUCGAGGCUUGCUUCGAUCGUUAGUGGCGGACGGCUGAGUAACGCGUAGGUGACCUGCCCCGAAGUGGGAGUAACUGCCCGAAACGGGUAGGCUAAUACCGCAUGUGGUGGUGUGUUCAAUCACACCAGUAAAGACCGCAAGGCGCUUCGGGAGGGGCCGUGCGUCCGAUUAGCUCGUUGGUGGGGUAACGGCUCACCAAGGCGACGAUCGGUAGGUGGUCUGAGAGGACGAUCACCCAGACUGGGACUGAGACACGGCCCAGACUCCUACGGGAGGCAGCAGUCGGGAAUUUUGCGCAAUGGACGAAAGUCUGACGCAGCAACGCCGCGUGAGGGAUGACGGCCUC
RNAcentral lists this ribosomal RNA (392 nucleotides) under uncultured bacterium. Its description in RNAcentral is "bacterial SSU rRNA". It matches the Rfam family "Bacterial small subunit ribosomal RNA", at positions 28 to 418 of the family's 1533-position model. The record is from RNAcentral.